Molecule: long non-coding RNA, 581 nt
Filed under: Salmo salar (Atlantic salmon)
Lineage: Eukaryota; Metazoa; Chordata; Actinopteri; Salmoniformes; Salmonidae
Description: lncRNA (ENSSSAG00000110167.1, ENSSSAG00020063972.1)
Source: RNAcentral
GUUUAGUAUAGGCACUUUUUCAUAACAUUUUAGCUUAUUUAGGUCUAACGUGAUGAUAUAACAUAAAGUGCAUAUUUCGCUCUAAUGACCAUAUAAUAAAAACAUUGCAACUCACCAUGUUGCUGAAUCAAUGGGAGCCCUGAGCUUGUUUCCCGGUGUUGUGCCGAAAAAUUUAAAUUUAAAAAAAUAUAUUCCAAGAUAUAUAUCACACUCCACUUAUCUCUUUUCCUACAUCAGAUAUGUAGGUGACAUUUCCACGUGGAUGACAGCACAUAAUCAGCAAGACGGAGAUGCUCUUCAUCCGAGAUGACCUGAGCCAACUGUGCCACUUCUGUGGGGAGGUGGACAAUAAUGAGGAAGACACUAACUGGAUUGGUUGUGACCGCUGCCCACGAUGGUUCCAUCAGUCCUGUAUGAAAACCAUCCCAUCAUUGGAGGAUUGUGUCUUUGCUGCCUGUCAGCACUAGGUUAGACUUGAGUUCCAGGUGACUGUAAAACUUUCCAUAAAAAGUGGACUAAAUGCUCAGUCGAGCUGUUGCAGCUUUCCAAUAUUUGUUUGUUAUAUAACUUAUUAUGCAAAG